Molecule: long non-coding RNA, 26927 nt
Filed under: Triticum aestivum (bread wheat)
Lineage: Eukaryota; Viridiplantae; Streptophyta; Magnoliopsida; Poales; Poaceae
Description: long non-coding RNA (TAES_LNC002363)
Source: RNAcentral
CCCUUCAAUAAAGCAAAAAUAUAUUGCAUCGGAUAUGAGCAUUGCAGAGUAGAAGCAUCCAGCAUCACCUACAAAAUACAAAUCACCAAGUAUUAGAAAAUGAUAAAUCUGAAAGUUGCAAUCAUAGUCAAAUUAAAAACAACGGAAGUUAAUGUCGCCCUAUAAUCUCUCUUCUUCUCCAUGUCAGUGAAAAAUCAACAUGUCAAGAAUAAGAGUGAGAGGCAAACGAAAGGCAAUGUGCAAUACAUCAUGAUUGGCUAAAACAUCGACUACUGCCCUCCGAUGUGCCUCCCUGUACAAAACUCAAAUCUCCAGCGGCUGCCGCACACUGAAGCGUUUAGGCCGAGUUGUGUAAGGAGUGGACUACUACAUCGUCACCAUCCCCAACAAAGGAAAGCAAAGCGACGUACCAAGUAUCCAUGGUCCACGAAAGAAGAGGCAACAUGUCCGCGCCGCCGGCCCGGCCUCGCUGUUCCUUCCCCCAUUGCCAGCCCCCCUGCUCCUUUACUCCAACCAUGAAGGAUCCAGCUAACAACGGAAAAACAAUUAGUUGGAGUGCAGAAUCUGCAUAGAAUAACGGAACACAUCAAUCUAGUCAUCUAGCUAGCUUCUGCCAUCAGGGUUGCUUGCUAAUUGCAACGAUAUUCGUAAUUGAAGAUUCAAUGAGAACUACCAAGAGAUAAAAAAAGAAAGCUGAAUCUGUUCACUCAAUGUGUGCAUGGCCUAUAAUGUCCUCACAUAUGAGUAAUUCAUCAAAGAAGCCCUAAAAAAACCUUCAAACAAAAAACACAAAUGAAAGGCAAGCUUACCUGAAUGGGGAUGGCCCAUGACCUGGAUCUCCUAGUCCACGCGCUGGUGAUCUGCUGCUACUUGAACAGCAACUCUGCCUGCUGACGCUGCCCAAACUGUGCAAGUUUCUCCAUAGUUUCCUUGCAAUUGUUAAGAUCAAAAUCAGCAGCUUUUGCAACUAAUGCAGAGUGUGAGUUUCUCUGCAGACAAAAAAGGCUUUGCAGAUUCAGUAUAGUUGACACAAACAAAAUGCAUUACCUGCUUUCCUCAAGAACCCAUGACUGAAAGAUGUGGAGAGAAAAUUGCAAAGUAUGAGCCUUAGUACUUAGGUAUCACAGAGAUUCAAUGGAAUUUCAACAAAACCAGGGCUUGCUUUUCACACUAUUGAACGUUCACGUAUUUCAUAUUUGAUCCACCUUUCAGCUGGGCAAAACAACAAACAGAUGGGGGCACAAUAUCUAUUUAUUCUCAGAAAAGAAAUUACCAAAUAUCUGGCCACGAGGGCGUGCGUAAGAGGACAGAGGAGAGAGCGCACGUGACAGCGAGAAAAGAUGUAGGCGAGGACGCGGGGACUGAUCUCUCGGGUGGAUGGAUUGGACGGCAGCGCGAAAGCCGGAUGGAGUCGGCCGUCUCUGCGACCCACGCUCCUCCUACCGACGGCGGCGACGUGGACCACCGCUGUUCCUCGAGCUCCUCCCGAGGUCGCCGCCGCACGCGUAGAGAUGGAGGCGGGGUGCAGCCUCCCGUGCAUCAUGCCCGAGCCUCGAGCUCCUCACAGCUCCCGAUUCAGGAAUAGAUCGAGCCGCCGCCAACCACAAGGCCGCGCCCGACCUCGCCAGCGCAGGCCGACGCCAGCCGGUGACCAUCUCCCGUAAGCCGCCACACCUCCCUCUCAUCUUUCCUCUCCCUUUCUCCCGCCUCUCCUCUCCUUCCUUCUCUGCUAGGGUUCAUGAGGAAGGAGGGGGAGGGGGUUGGGAGGCUACGGCGGGGGCUAGGGAUGACGAGACGCCGCCGCGCAUGAAGAGGAGAGGAGGCGGCGCGGAGGGAGAGAGGAAGGAGAGGAGGAGGCGAAGAGGGAGAGAGAGGAAGGAGAGGAGGCGGCGCGGAUAUUUUCUCGGGCUUGACUCGGUCCACCCAUGAUGGAUGCUCUGGCAACUGACGAUCACCGCUGCCCUUUUCCACCCAGACACAAAUACGAACACAGGGCGUGACUGCAAGACGGACUCACGCUAGAGGCUGGCCCAGCCGUCAGCCGCUCUAGCCCGAGUAGACAGCGUACAGAAAAAUGAAUGCACGGAUGUUUACCACGGCGAUGGAAAGUACGCUGGCGUCGGCCAGCGAGGCAUAUCGAGCGAGCCGGAUGAAUUUGAACCAGCGAUGGCGCUAGAACGGCGGGUUGCGUAGCUUGAUUUAUAUGUUCAAUGUUCAAUGCCCGCCGGUUUAGAAGCUAGAAUGUAAGGAGCCCGCUUUCUCGUGACGGUCUUACCUCCCUUCACAUGGUAAUAUGGCCUUGCAAUCUCUCAAAUGGUUGGUUGCAGCUUUGAGUAAUAUAUACAUAUGGGGAUCCCCUAGCCGCGAUGAUUCCUCAGAAAAAAGCCUAGUCGGUGGUGUUGAAAUGAUGUAAUUUUUUACAAGAAUUGUUUUUCAAUCUUGUAUAUAUAGAUGUUAUUCUUGUGUAUCAGCUGACUACGGUCAUCAGCCAAUCUGGAACGCUUACAAGAAAAGAAACCAAUGGAGCUUGGCGCCAACAGGCUGUAAUUGCUUACUAGAGAAUUUAAUUAUGUGCACAUUUGGUUGACGAGCAUGUGAUUGUUUACUGCGGCUACACUUGUCACAGUUUUUAUGAGGCUAGCAUUGUUUUUAUUUUACAAUGACUGAUUUUAGUAAAUAGUGGGAUGUUUUUAUCAGGCUAAUGAAUGCAUCCAUUUAUUUUAAAAGUAAAACAAAGCUAAAUGUGACCUACAGACAGUAGAUUUGACCAUGAAUGGAGAGACAUUAACUAUCUUUUCUUCUAGGAUAAUUUCCAUAUUCGGUGGUUAUUAGUAUUUUUUUAGUACUUACAUUGUUCUAUCUCAAUACAAAGUUCUCCCCCUUUCUUGUGGAGAUCUAUUCGAUGUAAUCUUCUUUUGCGGUGCGUUUGUUGAGACCGAUGAAUUGUGGGUUUAUGAUCAAGUUUAUCUAUGAACAAUAUUUGAAUCUUCUCUGAAUUCUUUUAUGUAUGAUUGGUUAUCUUUGCAAGUCUCUUCAAAUUAUCAGUUUGGUUUGGCCUACUAGAUUAAUCUUUCUUGCAAUGGGAGAAGUGCUUAGCUUUGAGUUCAAUCUUGCGGUGUCCUUUCCCAGUGACAGUAGGGGCGGCAAGGCACGUAUUAUAUUGUUGCCAUCGAGGAUAACAAGAUGGGGUUUAUAUCAUAUUGCAUGAGUUUAUCCCUCUACAUCAUGUCAUCUUGCUUAAAGCGUUACUCUGUUCUCUUGAACUUAAUACUCUAGAUGCAUGCUGAUAGCGGUCGAUGUGUGGAGUAAUAGUAGUAGAUGCAGGCAUGAGUUGGUCUACUUGUUUCGGACGUGAUACCUAUAUACAUGAUCAUACCUAGAUAUUCUCAUAACUAUGCUCAAUUCUGUCAAUUGCUCAACAGUAAUUUGUUCACCCACCAUAAAUACUUAUGCUCUUGAGAGAAGCCACUAGUGAAACCUAUGCCCCCCGGGUCUAUCUUCCAUCAUAUUAAUCUUCCAAUACUUAGUUAUUUCCUUUGCCAUUUAUUUUACUUGCAUCUUUUAUUUCUCUUUAUCAUAAAAAUACCAAAAAUAUUAUCCUAUCAUAUCUAUCAGAUCUCACUCUCGUAAGUGACCGUGUAGGGAUUGACAACCCCUUAUCGCGUUGGUUGUGAGGAUUUAUUUGUUUGUGUAGGUGCGGGGGACUCGUGCGUGGCCCCCUACUGGAUUGAUACCUUGGUUCUCAAAAACUGAGGGAAAUACUUACGCUACUUUGCUGCAUCACCCUUUCCUCUUCAAGGGAAAACCAAUGCAGUGCUCAAGAGGUAGCAUUGUGAAUUGAGUUUUUCUUUUGAAAUUUUGUUUUAUCGGAUUGAUACUUUUAUGGAUUUGAGAACACUUGAUGUAUGUCUUGCUAUGAAUACCCGUGGUGACAAUGGGGUACCAUAUUGAUUCACUUGAUAUGUGUUUUGGCACUCAACUCGCGGAUUCACGAUGUGACAUUAGGGUAAUCUAUGCAUAGGGUUUGAUGCACUUUCUCGUCUUUGUUUCUCCGACAGAAAUGUUGGGGCACUUUUUGAGAUUCUUUGUGUUGGAUUGAGUAUUAUGAAUCUGAAAUUGUUUUAUGCAUAUCAUAUAAUCAACUCACAGAUACUCGCGGUGACAUUGAAGUAUCUUAAUGAUAUUAGAGUUGGUUGAUGUGUAUCAUAUGGUGUUAUUUUAGUAUGAACUCUUUGUUAGAUUUUGGACAAAUUUGGCUUAUUAUGCUAUUCUUUAGGCCAUAUAUAUAAUCCUAAGUAAAAAUGACAUAAAUAAACGAGCCGUGUCGUGCCGGCCUACGUGCCCAGCCUCCAUGUCCAGGCACGGAUCCUAGCAUGCCACGUGCCGGGCACAACCAGUUUAGCCUGUGUCGAGACGUGGCUGGGUCGUGUUGUGCAUGCAUGCUGCCGGGCCGACCCAGUUAGCAUGCCCCGUUAAGCCAGCUUUGCAGUAGAGUAUGGUCCAGAAGGAGAGCUCCUAUACAGCGCUUCAGACGCCCGUUCGCGGAAGGGGCGCUCACGUAGCCGUGAAUUGGGCCGCCCCAAAGGGUGCUUGCUCGCUUGACACUCAUUCGAUGUUGGUCGCUGCUGAUUUUCUUUAGGUAGGUUCGCUGUUGACUGGUCAGGUUGACCGGUCAUCCGUUGAAUUAUCAAUCAUUGACUUUAGUAAAAAAAUUGAAAAAGUGAAAAAAUCAUAAAUUUCAAAAUGUUCAUGGAUUUUGAAAAAAGUUCAUGGAUUUAAAAAAAGUCAUCAAUUUUGAAAAAAGUUCAUAAAAAUUGAAAAAAGUUUAUCAAAUUUGAGAAAAGAUCUUCAAAUUUGAAAAUAAGUUCAUCAAUUUUUUAAAAAAUUCAUAGAUAUUGAAAAAAGUUUGUCGAAUUUGAAAAAAGUCAUCAUUUUUUUCAAACUUUUUUCAAAAUUGAUGAGUUUUAAAAAAUAGUUCAUCAGGUUUGAAAAAAGAUCAUCAAUUUUGGAAAAGUUCACCGAUUUUUGAAGAAAUAUUUCAUAAAUUUCGAAAGAAGAUAAUUUUUAAAAAUAGUUUGUGCAUUUUCAAAAAGAAAACAAAGAAUAGAAAAGGAAAAAUAGAGAGAAAAAGAAGACCAAACACUGUGUUUUCCAAUGUUGCAUUUUAAGAAAUAAAAAACGAAUCUGUCACAUAUGACGGGUUGCCCAGUUGGUUAGAUCGAUCUGUACCAUAUUCCACCUAAAAAAAAUCUGCACCAUAUCGGAACGAGCGCGGUUCUAGUCUCGUGGGGCACAACAUUUUUGCUAUUUUAAAACGAAAAAAGAGGAGUUAAUGGACCAGCCAGUGCAGGAGGGGUGUGUGCAGGUGGGGAAGCUGCUUCGGGCGCCGAUUUGCAAAAAAAUUAUAAACUGGUGCUUGAAGCGCCAAAUAGGAUUUGUCAUCCAGGAGCUCAAGCAGGAUCUCGCGGCGAGCGGCCACAAUGAGGUGCCACUUGGGCCCAUGGACGGCAAUGAGCACGACUAAGGCCAACUCCACCGCGCGACCCUAUCUUAUCUGCCCCCGUUCGUUUGGGGUAAAACGGACGAAUAGCGCAGCCCAACGCACGGCCUCAAACGGACAAAUAUCCGGAUUCCGUCCGUUUUCGACUCAUCCCUGGCCCAAACUUGCGCUCGGUUUGGGAUGAAACGGACGCGCGCGGACGGCUUGGACGCACGCCCUUGCCCCCCUCCCCCGUGGCCCGCCUGUCGGGGACACUAGCAGUCCCUCCGCUCCCAACGCUUCCACCCUCUCUCUCUCGCCCCGCCCCGCCGCCGGCGCCGCCGCUAUUCUCCGGCCGCCUCCUCACCGCGCAGCCUCCGGCCGUCCCUACCAAACCACUUCUCGACAUGGCUGCCACCACGCCCGUGCUGUGGCCGUAGUUUUGGCCGUCGAUCGGAGGUUUGGCCGUCGACGUCUUUGCCGACCGCAGAGGGGACAGGACCACCGGCGACGCAGCACGGCGUCCUCGGCAGCUCCCGACGAGAGCUCCACAGCGACCAGUAGCCGGCCGGCAACCACCCCUGCUGCGUUGAGGUGAUCAUCGCGGCCUCUUCGCCACCACGCCUGCAAGGUGUUCGACAUUUUGCCCACAAAGGUAUGGACAGUGGAGACGAGUUUUUCUUCCAUCACUUUCUUUGUUCAUCGGACGAUUCAUCGUCGGAUGAUGAAGAUAUUGUGGUGGCUGCACUGGUCGUUCACGACCACAUUCAACGGCAGCUUCCUCGGUACAGGGGGUCAGUCCCUGGCCGUGCUCCCAACCUGAACCACAACAGGGAGAGAGGGCACGCCCUGCUCUAUGCCGAUUACUUUGCCAACACCCCGGUCUUCAAGCCGGAUAAAUUCCGUCGCCGUUUUCGAAUGGCAAGGCAUGUGUUCAAUCGUAUCCGAGAGGGAGUGGUUGCUCAUGACCCAUACUUCGAGUGCAAGACAGAUGCCCUUGGCAAGCUUGGAUUCUCCUCUUACCAUAAAUGCACCGCGGCCAUCCGCAUGCUUGCAUAUGGAAUUCCAGGCGAUCUGGUGGAUGAGUAUGUGCGUAUGAGUGAGACAAGAUGUCUGAUGUCAAUGUACAAGUUUUGCCAGGCUGUGGUCGAGGUGUUUGGCCCAGAGUACUUGAGGCAGCCAACUUCCACUGAUACAGAGAGAUUGUUGGCGACCAACGCAGCUAGAGGCUUUCCAGACAUGCUUGGCAGCAUGGAUUGUAUGCACUGGGAGUGGAAGAACUGUCCAUUUGCUUGGCAGGGCUAGUACAAAGGGCAUGUCAAGGCGUGCACUGUCAUAUUAGAAGCGGUGGCAUCACAGGAUCUUUGGAUAUGGCAUUCUUUCUUCGGCAUGGCAGGUUCUCACAAUGAUAUCAACGUGCUGCAGCGUUCUCCAGUCUUCGCGAGGCUUGCAGAAGGCCACUCCCCACCUGUCAACUUUGAGAUCAACGGUCACUAUUACAACAAGGGAUAAUAUCUAUCAGAUGGUAUAUAUCCUCAGUGGUCAACUUUUGUGAAGACAAUCUCGAAACCCCAAGGUGAGAAGAGAAAGAGAUUUGCCCAAAUGCAAGAGAGUGUUAGAAAGGAUGUGGAACAUGCUUUUGGUGUGCUUCAAUCCUGGUGGGGUAUCGUUCGAAACCUUGCACUGUCAUGGGAUGAAAGGAAGCUUUGGGAGGUGAUGACUGCUUGUGUGAUCAUGCACAACAUGAUCGUCAAGGACGAGCGUGAUGAGAGUAUCUUCGACCAAGGAUUUGACUAUCAAGGUGAAAAUAUUGAGCCCCUGCACCAAGACCCGGCCACAUUUGAACAGUUUGCUUAAUUCCACCGUGAGAUGCGUGAUUGGCAAACUCAUUUGAAUCUUCAAAAUGACUUGGUUGAGCAUGUGUGGGAUCACAUUGGCAACCAAUAGAUGUAUUGGUCCAUUUUAUGUUUAGUCAAGACAAUUUCGAUUUGGUUGUAAAAAUAUUUUAUUAAAGACAAUUUCAAUUGGGUUGUAAAACUAUUUUAAUUUUCAGACAAAUAUUUGGGUUGGAAACUAAUUUUGAUGAAAAUUUGGCCAUUUUUGGCCCUGACGGACAGGAUAGGGCAAAAGGAUGCGUCUGCGCGCUGGGCGCACGGCCACCGCAUCCCAGGACACGCCCGGACACGACCCCAAAUCGCUACCCAAACGGACAGAAUCCGAACAAAAUGGACGUCUGUUUGGGGUCACGCGGUGGAGUUGGCCUAAAAAUGUGGGUGGUUCUAGGCUUGGCCCGGCCUGCUGGGCUUUUUUUUGGUUUCAUGUACAUAUUAGCAAUGUAGUGUUUGUUGCUAGAGUGAGUUUUUGGGUCAUCAAUGAUACACCAUUCUGCAGUAGUGUUUACAACUUCUCUCCAUUAAAAAGGUAAUCUACAAAAAUCUCUGGAAUAUAAAGAUUAAACUAUGAGAAUUUAAUGAUGAACAUGGUAGGAGUCGGCCUAUAAACAUGGAGUUGGUUGGCUGAACAACUCGGAUGAGGAGCUGGAAGUCGGGGUGGCUGUUCUGAAAGUUUGAAAGCAUUGAAGAUGUUUGGCCUAGUGUCAUGUGGGCGACAAGGUUAUCCUGGUGGUUCACCAAGACUGAUUGGUGUAGGGUUCUGUAACAUGCAAAACAAAAAACAUGGUAGGAGCCGGCCUAUAGAGGUGGUUUUGGCUGGCUGAACAAGCUCAAUUUCUUCCAUCAAAAAGGUAAUCUAAAAAAUCUCAAGAAUAUCAAGAUUAAACUAUGAGAAUUUAAUGAUGAACAUGUUUGGAGCCAACCUAUAAACAUGGUGUUGGUUGGCUGAAUAACUCGGAUGAGGAGCGAGAAGUCGGGGUGGCUGUUCCGAAAGUGUUCCGAAAGUUUGGAAGCAUUGAAGAUGUUUGACCUAGUGUCAUGUGUGCGACAAGGUUAUCCUGGUGGUUCACCACGAUUGAGUGGUGUAGGGUUCUCUAACAUGCAUGUCCCUCGCCUCCAUGGGAGGUUUCCGGAUCUACUACUCCACUAUCAAUCAUGGUAUCUUCUUUUUUGCAGCGGUGAAAUACCAACUAGUAUAGUGGAAUGGGUUGUGUAUGUAGUGGGUAUGCUUUUGUUGUGUUUGUGGCGCCAUCAACGGCGAGGGUAGGCUUGGCCUCGGUUCGGUUUCAAAUGUGGUUGGCCUUGCGUGGUUUCAGUAAAAAAAAUACUCCUUUUCCCCAUGAUAUAAUAUGCGUUGGUUCUCAUUAGUCAAGCUUUGUAUAGUUUCAAAGUUAGCUAUAUCUAUAGUAUCCAACAUUUCAUCGUGAAUCUAAUGCUAGAUGUUGAUAACUUUUCUUGUAAAGUUUACCAAACUUUAUAAAGUUUGACUUUUAGAAAAUUUGAUAUAUGCUAUAUACUAGAACCACUUGGGGAGCCUCGGCGGGACCAUCCCGGGCCUUAGCCCCCUUCCAAGCUCCUUCAAUCAAUGAUGGCACUGUUAGAGAUACGACAUGCAAAUGAAACGAUGAAGAACCACUUUAUACUUAAAUUUGGAUCAAAACAUAACAGGCACUAUACUCGCCACUCAGCCUCUUCACAAUAUCUUCUUCUCAUCGAGGUCCGUAAAAUUGACUCCAGCAUCCUCAAAUAGACCAUCAGGUGUCAAUUAAAAGUAUACCCCAUCAGAACUUCGUCCUAAAAACCAUAGCUUAUCUGUCAGAUUUGGCAACAAUAUUACUUCCUCACAACCAGCAAACACACCCUUUGAUAUCCGAUAGAUAACUCUUUGCUCUUGCUAAUCUACCGGCUAAUCCUCGGGCUUCUGGGAUCAUCGAAGCUAAUUAUAGGCACGUGCUCCCGUUUAGCCCCCUCGUAAAUCUGUUUCACGCGCCGCCACUGUUAGAACGGAUGGAGUAAUAAGGCUGCUGUCAAUGCAUGGGUGCUUAGUUGAGGUGCUAAGCACAUUAAAUAGCUUAACAACUAUACUCCCCAAUGCAUAGGUGCUUAGCUUAUGGUUGCUAAGCUUGCUUCAUGUAAUGAUUUAGCAUCGUUUCUUCCUGAGGUCACCACACUCAUCUCUCUCUUCUUAAAUAACUCGCCACAUCAGAAUUUUUACCUACGUAGAAGGCUUAGCACAUGUAGAAAGUGGAGCAUUGGAAGGGGCCUAAGAGGAAAAACAGGAGAACCACCUCUAGUGCUGUUGCAUGAUCGAUUCGACCCACCAGGGGUAGCGCUAACGUUCAUACUGCACGAGUCACCCGUACAGUAUGUAUUUUCUUCUGAAAAAAGGAAAGAAAGAAAACACAGAACACACCGGGAGCAUAUAUGUUCGGGCCGUCAGAAGUGGUGCUGCUAUUCUGUAGCCGGUUUGGUGUGUUUGUGGUCCGGACGCAUAUUAAGUCUAUUUGUUUGCUACCCAAAGGCCUCUGUCCAAGUCAACGAGUGGCCAGAGCGAGGGGAGUAGUAGGGUGGGGAGUGUUUUUACUGUAAGCGAACACAAGAUUACAACAUGCAAUCAAAGUUUGCCUGACCACUGGCACAUUAAUUAUCCGUGUACCCCUGGCGCCAUUUUUAGCAACACGCGACCUUUCUUUCAUAGCAACGUGGUCCUCGUUGCACAGCGCACCAGGCUGUUGGACCUUGCAUUGCACAUGAUGGCGGCCGGUCUUGCUGAAAUCUGAGAUGGGCUCUAGGCCCAUAUUGCAAUUUCUGAAAAAUCUCUAAGGGCCCAUGUGGGUUAUAUGGCACUAGGUGUGUGGGAAGUUUAGUCCCACCUUGGAAGUGGAAGGAGAGUUGGAGUGGUUUAUAAGGGACUCUCUCCCUCAUGCUAUUGGAGCUUGAGAAGAGAUGAGGCCCUCGCGCACUCCUCCUCCGCUCGCCGCGCCGCGCCGCGGGUUGCAGGUUGCGGGAUUGAGCCGAGCCGAGCUCACUCCUAUGCUUCUUUUUGCCGGUCAGGAACGGAGAGUCUUUGACAGGUGGGGCCACGAUCUGAGACGUCGGAUCGUGGGCUACCGACUUGGACGUGGGUUCAGCCCACGUCUCUCCACGCGCGGCCGCACAUAUAUAUGUGGGGCGCUGCCAACCCUAGCCGUCACGAAACAGAACGCAUCUCCGCCUCCACGCCCACGUCGUUCCUCUGCUGCUGCUGCCGCCGGCGACUCCGUCCCGUUCACCGCGUACACGGUUGACGGGAGAGCAGGCCUCCGAAACCACGCCUCUCCGGAUCCUGUACGGGGAGAGGGGCGAUUAGGUUUUUGGGUAGCGACUACGCGACUGCUCGCUUCUGUUCAUCUACGUCCGCAUCACCUUCAUCAUCACCAUGUCGACCGACACCGACCGUGCCGCCGCUGAGAAAGCCGAGGCCGACAAGAAGGCCGCCGAGGAUGCCGCGGCUGCUGUCACCGCCACCGCCACCGCGUGGCCGAUUGGAGGGUAUACAUCGCUUAUCCCUCUCGUGUUUCUUUCUGUUAUAGCAGUACUAGCGGUAUGCGUAGAUGUCUCUACUAUAUGCGUAGUACAUGCUCUGUUAGAUCAUAAUCAGUAUGUUAUCAAUGCUGUCCAUGUCAUGCUCAUGAUUUAUUCAUGGAUUAAUUUAAUCAAAAAACUGCCUAUUUACUCAACAAUCCAAAAACCUAAUAUCUGUAGGAGUUUUUCGAAUUCUGGUUUUGCUGCUGCACUGAAACCGUCCCCGUUUACGGGAACGUACUUUAAGCGUUGGCAGACUAAAACCACCUUAUGGCUCACGGCCAUGAACGUGUUCUGGGUCGCCGGUGUGACUCCUACAGGAACGAUCGCUCCUGAACAGGAGAAGGCGUUUAAGGAGGCCACCGUGGUGUUCCUCGGGGCAGUUCUGAGCGUGAUUGGAGAUAAGCUGGUUGAUGCAUAUUUACAUAUGCGGUCUGCCAAGGACUUGUGGGAGGCGCUCGAAUCUAAGUUCGGGGCUGCCGAUGCAGGGAGCGAGAUGUAUAUUAUAGAGCAGUUCCACGAUUACAAGAUGGUUGAAAACCGUCCUGUAUUGGAGCAGGCUCAUGAGAUAAUAUGCAUUGUUAAGGAGCUUGAGCUUCUUAAGUGCGAGUUACCGGGCAAAUUUGUCGCGGGCUGCAUAAUCGCUAAGCUCCCCAAUUCCUGGAGGAACUUUGCCACCACUCUGAAACAUCAGAGGCGUGAAUUCUCUGUGGAGGAUGUCAUUGGCCAUCUGAGUGUUGAGCAGAACUCAAGGGCAAAGGACUCACACGGAAAAGGGGUCGAAGGAACUUCUGUGGCCAAUAUGGUGCAUCAGAAGAACUCCAAUUCCCACAAGCCCAGGGGAAAGAACGGUGUCCAACAGACUGCCGACUUUAAGAAGAAGGGUAAGAAGACCUUCAAGAAGAACAAGAAGGAUGAGGGCUGCUUUACUUGUGGUUCGGCUGAACAUUGGGCCAACAAGUGCCCAAACAAGUUUAAGAAGCCAGGACAGGACUCCAAGUCUGUCAACAUGAUUGUGAGCAACAAUGAGAAUGGUGCAUCUGGGUACGGUAAUUUAUUUACUGUUUUUUCAGUGUUUCAGCCUACCGAUUGGUGGGUGGAUACAGGUGCAGGUGUUCAUGUGUGUGCUGACAUUUCAUUGUUCUCUUCUUACCAGGUCACAGGCCACGGGUCCGUAUUGAUGGGGAAUGGCGCGAGUGCUUCUGUUCAUGGUGUUGUCACGGUCGAUCUGAAGUUUACUUCGGGAAGGAUCGUGCAGCUGAAGAACGUGCAGCAUGUCCCCGCCAUCAAGAAGAACCUCGUUAGUGGCUCCCUUCUAUGUAGAGAAGGGUUUAAGUUGGUAUUCGAGUCUAAUAAAUUAGUUGUUACUAAGUAUGGACUAUUUGUUGGAAAAGGUUAUGAGAGCGGAGGGAUGUUCCGCCUUUCCCUCGCAGAUUUUUGUAAUAAAGUCGUGAACCAUAUUCAUUCGAAUGUUAAUGAAUCUGAAGUUUGGCAUUCACGUCUUUGUCACAUUAGUUUUGGUGUUAUGACGCGGCUAGCCAAGUUGGAUUUAAUCCCGAGUUUCACUUUAGCCAAAGGUUCUAAGUGCCUUUCAUGUGUGCAAGCUAAGCAACCUCGCAAGCCUCAUAAGGCCGCGGAGGAGAGACACCUGGCACCAUUAGAACUCAUACAUUCUGAUCUUUGUGAGAUGAAUGGUGUGUUGACUAAAGGUGGAAAGAGAUACUUCAUGACAUUGAUAGAUGAUUCCACUAGAUAUUGCUAUGUGUAUCUGUUAAAUACUAAAGAUGAGGCUCUACACUACUUUAAAAUCUAUAAGGCAGAAGUUGAAAAUCAACUUGAAAAGAAAAUUAAACGAGUCCGGUCAGAUCGUGGUGGAGAGUACUUCUCGAGUGAGUUUGAUUCCUUCUGUGCGGAACACGGCAUUAUUCAUGAGAGGACGCCUCCCUAUUCACCCCAGUCAAACGGGGUUGCCGAGCGGAAAAACCGUACUCUAACUGAUUUGGUUAACGCCAUGUAGAUACAUCGGGUUUAUCCAAGGCAUGGUGGGGGGAGGCUAUAUUGACGGCAUGUCAUGUCCUGAAUAAAGUUCCGACAAAGGAUAGUGAGAUCACUCCCUAUGAGAAAUGGGCAAAGAGAAGGACGACACUCUCGUACUUGCUCACUUGGGGCUGUUUGGCGAAAGUCAACGUGCCGAUCCCCAAAAAGCGUAAGCUUGGACAUAAGACCGUGGACUGCAUUAAUUUGGGCUACGCUAAGAACAGCGUUGGCUAUAGAUUUCUAGUAGUGAAAUCUGAGGUACCUGACCAGAAGAUCGGUACAAUUAUGGAGUCUAAGGAUGCUACAUUCUUUGAGGAUAUUUUUCCUAUGAGAGAUAUGCAAAGCACUUCUAGACAGGAAUCUGAGGAGACUCCUGAACCUGCCAUCCCUAUGGAAUAUUAUGAACAAACACAUGAUGAAAAUCCCGAGGAGGAUGACGAGGAAACCCUUGGUAGGGGCAAGAGACAAAGGACUGCAAAGACCUUUGGUGAUGAUUUCUUCGUGUACCUCGUGGAUGAUACUCCCACUUCUAUUUCAGAAGCGUAUGCCUCUCCAGAAGCUGACUACUGGAAGGAUGCGGUCCGUAGCGAGAUGUAUUCCAUCAUGGCUAACGGGACAUGGGAGAUCACUGACUGUCCCUAUGGUUGCAAACCACUGGGAUGUAAGUGGGUGUUCAAAAAGAAGCUUAGGCCCGAUGGUACGAUUGAAAAGUACAAGGCUAGGCUUGUGGCCAAGGGCUAUGACCAGCAAGAAGAGGAAGAUUUCUUUGAUACUUAUUCACCUGUGGCUAGACUGACCACCAUUCGAGUAUUACUCUCGUUGGCGGCCUCACAUGGUCUUCUCGUCCAUCAGAUGGAUGUUAAGACGGCUUUUCUAAAUGGAGAGCUAAAGGAGGAAAUCUACAUGCAACAGCCUGAUGGCUUUGUGAUAGAUGGUCAGGAAAGAAAGGUGUGUAGGUUGAUAAAAUCUUUAUAUGGCCUGAAACAAGCACCUAAGCAAUGGCAUGAUAAGUUUAAUACAACUCUGACAUCUGUUGGUUUCGUUGUCAAUGAGGCUGAUAAAUGUGUAUACUAUCGCCAUGGUGGGGGCGAAGGAGUUAUACUGUGCUUGUAUGUUGAUGACAUACUGAUAUUCGGAACCAACCUCAAAGUCAUUGAGGAGGUUAAGUCCUUUCUGUCUCAGAACUUUGAGAUGAAGGAUCUUGGUGUGGCUGAUGUUAUCUUGAAUAUCAAGCUACUGAGAGAUAAUGAGGGUGGGAUCACACUUCUGCAAUCCCAUUAUGUUGAGAAGGUGUUGAGUCGCUUUGGAUAUUCGGACUGCACACCAUCUCAAACACCAUAUGAUCCUAGCGUGUUGAUUCGAAAGUCCAAAGGCAUGGCUAAAGAUCAAUUGAGAUACUCUCAAAUCAUUGGUUCACUGAUGUACCUAGCAAGCGCAACGAGGCCUGACAUCGCGUUUGCUGUGAGCAAACUGAGCCGGUUUGUUUCCAAACCGGGUGAUGUACAUUGGCAUGCUGUAGAAAGAGUUAUGCACUAUCUGAAAGGUACUAUGAACUAUGGACUUCACUAUACCGGAUACCCGUCGGUACUUGAAGGGUAUAGUGAUGCGAAUUGGAUCUCUGAUGCUGAUGAGAUGAAGGCCACAACUGGGUAUAUGUUUACUCUUGGAGGUGGCGCUGUUUCCUGGAAGUCUUGCAAGCAAACGAUCUUAACGAGAUCGACAAUGGAAGCAGAAUUAACGGCAUUAGACACAUCUGGUGUUGAAGCGAGAUGGCUUCGAGAUCUUUUGAUGGACUUGCCAUUGGUUGAUAAACCGGUUCCGGCUAUCCUUAUGAACUGUGACAAUCAGACUGUCAUCACCAAGGUGAAGAGUUCAAAGGACAACAUGAAGUCCACCAAACACAUAAGAAUGAGAUUAAAAGCUGUCAGAAAAUUAAGAGACUCCGGAGUGAUAGCGUUGGACUAUGUCCAUACGGCUAAGAAUCUGGCAGAUCCCUUUACAAAAGGGCUAUCACGUGUUGUGAUAGAUAACGCAUCGAGGGAGAUGGGUAUGAGACCCACAUGAGUUGCCAUGGUGGUAACCCAACCUAUAUGAUCGGAGAUCCCGUGAACUAGGACCUGGGAAAACAAGCCAGUGGUGAACUGAGGAGAGUAACUAUACUAACCUACUCCGUUGGAGAUGCAAUACUCUCGAUACUGUAUGGUAGGAUGACUACGGUCUCAAUGUGUUCCAAAGCUUAUAAAAGCAAGAUGCUAUCCUACAGAGCGAUCUUUGGAGGAACACACCUAUAUGAGCCCGACUGCUGGUCACAGUCUAUGAGAUUGGGGUGAUCUCUAGUAAGCUCAUGAAUAGGCCAGGAGUGUGACUUAUAUGCUCCACCCGAGGGGUCAGCCUUCGGCAGCCUAGUACUAGUAAGACAUGUAGUGAAACUUCUUUACGCCAAACUGACAAUUCAAGGCAUAGUCCAUUGUUCAGUUGUGAAGGAGUGUAGCCACUUGUUCUAGGUGAAGUUCAACCUUAACAGGUCUUUACUGAAACACUGGUAUAUCGAAACAGCAAUUGGAACAGAGGACACAAUGGGCCCUCGAGAUCUGGUGGGGGAUUGCUGAAAUCUGAGAUGGGCUCUAGGCCCAUAUUGCAAUUUCUGAAAAAUCUCUAAGGGCCCAUGUGGGUUAUAUGGCACUAGGUGUGUGGGAAGUUUAGUCCCACCUUGGAAGUGGAAGGAGAGUUGGAGUGGUUUAUAAGGGACUCUCUCCCUCAUGAUAUUGGAGCUUGAGAAGAGAUGAGGCCCUCGCGCACUCCUCCUCCUCCGCUCGCCUCGCCACGCCACGCCACGCCUCGUCACGACGCGCCGCGGGUUGCGGGAUUGAGCCGAGCCGAGCUCACUCCUAUGCGCUUCUUUUUGCCGGUCAGGAACGGAGAGUCUUUGACAGGUGGGGCCACGAUCUGAGACGUCGGAUCGUGGGCUACCGACUUGGACGUGGGUUCAGCCCACGUCUCUCCACGCGUGGCCGCACAUAUAUAUGUGGGGCGCUGCCAACCCUAGCCGUCACGAAACAGAACGCAUCUCCGCCUCCACGCCCACGUCGUUCCUCUGCUGCUGCUGCCGCCGGCGACUCCGUCCCGUUCACCGCGUACACGGUUGACGGGAGAGCAGGCCUCCGAAACCACGCCUCUCCGGAUCCUGUACGGGGAGAGGGGCGAUUAGGUUUUUGGGUAGCGACUACGCGACUGCUCGCUUCUGUUCAUCUACGUCCGCAUCACCUUCAUCAUCACCAUGUCGACCGACACCGACCGUGCCGCCGCUGAGAAAGCCGAGGCCGACAAGAAGGCCGCCGAGGAUGCCGCGGCUGCUGUCACCGCCACCGCCACCGCGUGGCCGAUUGGAGGGUAUACAUCGCUUAUCCCUCUCGUGUUUCUUUCUGUUGUAGCAGUACUAGCGGUAUGCGUAGAUGUCUCUACUAUAUGCGUAGUACAUGCUCUGUUAGAUCAUAAUCAGUAUGUUAUCAAUGCUGUCCAUGUCAUGCUCAUGAUUUAUUCAUGGAUUAAUUUAAUCGAAAAACUGCCUAUUUACUCAACAGGUCUCAGCAACUGCGCGCGCGAGGCCCUCCCCUCUGCACGACGGACCUGCGCUGCACCAGUCGGCCACCAACGGUCGACGAUAUGGUUCCACGGUAUGCCCACCCUUACGUAUGCUGAGCGCAGAAAAGAGUGCAUGCAUUGACCUAAGGCUCCAAAGUUUGGCUGGAUGCAUGCAUGCAUGCAUGGCAAAAUCUGGUUCGAAGUACGAGACGGAUAAUAUCUUUAACACUUGACUCAGAUGCUUCAUACACUCACAUAAAGUAUGAAUCGUACGCAUGCAUACCUACCCCUGUUAGUACUUAGUCGCCACAACAUUUUUAGAUUGGUGAAGUCACCACACUCGCUGCAUAGGCCUGAAAUAAAUCAAAAAAAUGCAAUCACUACUGCCAAGUCUAUGACUUGUACACUAAUGAAUUGGUUCCACAACAAGAAACAUAACCAUCUGACCUAUGGUUAUUAGUUCCCAUGAGAUGGAUAAUAUCUAUCAAUCUAUGCCCCCUUGUUGCAUUGCAUACCAUUAGAAGCCGUACAAUGGAUCUUCAAGUUCUAAAUGUGAACAUUUAUUAAACUAAAUCAAUAUCAUUAGAUUUGUCAUCAGAUACAAUUUUAUACAAUACUUGGUAUGGUACUAGAUCAAAAUCAUUAGAUCCAUCACCAAAUGUAAUUUCGUAUGAUAUAUAUUUAAUAUUGUAGAUGCUCACAUGUUUUCUAUGAACUUGGUAGAACCUUACAAAGUUUGACUUCAGAUAAUCUAAUGUGCACUCUAAUUCGGCAAUAAGAGAGUGAAGGGUUAGGGUAAAACCGAAACAAAUGCUGAUAUCAUGAGCACACCGUCGACCAACUGCGAAUCAAAGAGCACCACCACCAUCGUCUCGUCUCUUGAGCGUCACCAUCUCCUCGUCUCCGAGUCGAGGGCAAACGCCCCUCCCUAAGUCGUCGAGCAUUAGCCCUACAUUCCCCUUGCUCCUUUUCACUGGAGAACUUGUACCACUGCCACCCGAAGUCUUAGCGCCUAAUGGGUUCAUACUUUACCAAGACUACAUCAUGUGAUAUUUUUGCAAAAAAGUAGAGCCAUGAAAUAAGAAACAUGCAAGGAAAAAUAGACAUCAUCUCUUUCGCCAAUCCCAAAAUCUUAAGGGCACUUUUCAUAGAAUUAUCUUAAGAAGUUUCAUUCGUUUCAGAGAAUUAUUCUUGUGGUAUAUUUAUUUAUAUUGUUCCAUUACAAUAUGCAUAGCCAAAUGUUUGGUUGUGGUGUGUGUGCUCUUUCCUUACUAACACCUUGACAUUCCAAUUCAUUAUCGGAGAGUACGCGACAGAGACUACAAACACACAUAAGAUAGAAAAUCAUUUCGAGAAAUUUCUUAGCAAUUAGAGGUCCAAUUCUACCGCACGGAAGCAUGUUAGUACUUACUUAUUCAUUGUGACCAACGUACCCAUUUUUCAUGUGCUAUCAAUUUAGAGACCCCUAAAGGNNNNNNNNNNNNNNNNNNNNNNNNNNNNNNNNNNNNNNNNNNNNNNNNNNNNNNNNNNNNNNNNNNNNNNNNNNNNNNNNNNNNNNNNNNNNNNNNNNNNNNNNNNNNNNNNNNNNNNNNNNNNNNNNNNNNNNNNNNNNNNNNNNNNNNNNNNNNNNNUAUCUUUGGUGAAAUCUAACGUACAAACUAUAAUUAGGGAGGGUAAUUGCGAGUAAAUGAGGUUUUUGUUCGUUUGCUUCGUUUUCAAAUCAAGCAUGAAGACUUUGUACGGAUAUACGAGGCUAGCCCGUGGUUGGAGGCUACCCCUUAUCUUGCGCCCGAAGUCUUGACACCUAAUAGGUUCAUACUUUCCCAAGACUACAUCAUAUGAUAUUUUUGUAAAUUCAAAUAAAUAGAGCCAUGAAAUAAGAAAACAUACGAGGAAAAAUAGACAUCAUAUCUUUCGCCAAUCUUGAAAUCUUAAACGCACUUUUCAUCGAAUUAUAAUAAGAAGUUUCAUUUGUUUCAGAGAAUUAUUCUUGUGAUACAUUUCUUUAGUUUUUUUUCAUUACAAUAUGUAAUGUGUACACAUUGGAGUUAUGAGAAAUCACCAAUAUGUCCAUAGAUAUUUUUUUAUUGGAGGCCAAGGAGCACAAGAAGGAGCAUAGCCAAAUAUUUAGUUGUGGUGUGUGCUCUCUUUCCUUCCUAACACAUUGAUAUUCUAAUUCAUUAUCAGAGACUACACAAUACAGACUACAAACACACAUAAGAUAGUAUAUCAUUUUGAGGGAUUUCUUAGCAAUUGGAGGUCCAAAUUCUAUCAUAUGGAGGCCUGUUAAUACUUAUUGUUUCAUUGUGAGAAAAAAUUUGGGCUUACAUAUAACCGGAUUUUUCUUGCAAAUGAUCAACAAUGAAGGGCAUACAGGCCGGUGAAAUGGUGAAUUUUGAGUCAACCCAAGGACCAAGGAGGGAUAUGAAUUCAGCACCUAGACCUUAAAAACAAAUGCCUCCUGAGUAAUUGACUUAUUAAUUUCUUCAAUGAUGGAGUGGCAGUCACUUCUAAGAAAUAAAUACCUUGCACAUAAACAAUUAUCUUUGGUGAAAACCAAACCUACAAACUAUAAUUAGGGAGAGUAAUUGCGAGUAAAAUGAAUUUUUCAUCGUUUGCUUCGUUUUCAAACCAAGCCUGGAGACUUUGUACGGUUAUAUAUGAGCUAGCCAGUUGUUGGAGGCUACCCCUUAUCACCUCCUAUCCAUGGUAAGUUAAUAUUUUUUUUCUGAAAUAAACAUGUUACUGUUGCAUUUGAUUUGUUUUGAUAACGCUCAAUGUUUAUAUUGGAUGCUCUCCUAUUGGUCAAGUUUAACUGAUUGUCAUGAGAUAAUACUCAAGGUAGUGGAUAUGGUAUAUGUGUGGACACAAGGGCAAGAAACUCUUAAGUGGGAUUUACAUUUUUCAGAUGUCUUAUAUAUUAGUACACUAUGUAUUCAUCCUUAGUAGACACCUCGAUCCUUCCCGCUCAAAAUGGAUGUAGCGGCUCUAGCUAUGGCUUUUUAAGAUCAAUAUUUUUCUUUUGGUGUUUGUGCCAUGGUGUGUGAUUAUGAUGAAAGAAUUUUUCUAUAAGCACACUUGCUAGGGGUCACACGAUACAUUAUAGUUUUUGGAGGGACUUCCAAAUUUUGCCGCCGACUUUGACGUUUUUAUACUAAUUAUCCCAUUUAGCAACAAAUUGCCAGUUUACCACUUUUUAAGUUCUUUAGGUUACAUAUAGCUCCUCUAGUGAGGUUUACAUGAGACAAGAGUCAUGUAUAGAACAAUGCAGCACCCGGAAACAAAUAUAUAAGGCCAACUCCACCGCGCGACCCUAUCCUGUUCGGCCCCGUCCGUUUGGGGUAAAAGGGAUAAAAAAGGCGGCCCAGCGCGCGGGAGCAAACGGACUUUUGUCCGCUUUGUGUCCGCUUUCGACCCAUUCCCGGCCCAAACUUGCGCCGGUUUUGGGGUGAAACGGACACCACGCGGACGGGCGGGACGCGCGCGCUUGUCCUCCCCUGGCCCGCCUGUCGGGGACACUAGCAGUCCCUCCGCUCCCAACGCUUCACCCUCUCUCCCCGCCCCGCCCGCCCCGCCGCCGCUAUUCUCCGGCCGCCUCCUCACCGCGCAGCCCCCCCGCCGUCCAUACCAAACCACGUCUCGACAUGGCCACCACCACGCCCGCGCUUCCGCCGUAGUUUUGGUCGUCGAUCGGAGGAGGUUUGGCCGUGGCCGUCCUUGCCGGUGGUAGAGUCAGACACGACUGCCGGUGACGUACCACGGCGGCCGAGGCAGAUUCCGACGAGAGCUCCAGAGCGGCCUGUAGCCAGCCAGCGACCACCCUGCUGCGUCGAGGUGAUCAUCGCGGCCUCUUCGCCACCACGACCGCAAGGUGUUCGACCUUUUGCCAACAAAGGUAUGGACAGUGGAGACGAGUUUUUCUUCCAUCACUUCCUUUGUUCAUCGGACGAUUCGUCGUCGGAUGAUGACGAUCUUGUGGUGGCUGCACUGGUCGUUCACGACCAUAUUCAACGGCAGCUUCCUCGGUACAGGGGGUCAGUCCCUGGCCGUGCUCCCAACCUAAACCGCAACAGGGAGAGAGGCCACGCCCUGCUCUAUGCAGAUUACUUUGCCAACACCCCGCUCUUUAGGCCGGAUAAAUUUCGUCGCCAUUUUCGUAUGGCAAGGCAUGUGUUCAAUCGUAUCCGAGAGGGAGUGGUUGCUCAUGACCCAUACUUCGAGUGCAAGACGGAUGCCCUUGGCAAGCUUGGAUUCUCCUCCUAUCAGAAAUGCACCGCGGCCAUCCGCAUGCUUGCAUAUGGAAUUCCAGGCGAUCUGGUGGAUGAGUAUGUGCGUAUGAGUGAGACAACAUGUCUGAUGUCAAUGUACAAGUUUUGCCAGGCUGUGAUCGAGGUCUUUGGGCCAGAGUACUUGAGGCAGCCAACUGCCGCUGAUACAGAGAGAUUGUUGGCGACCAACGCAGCUAGAGGAUUUCCAGGUAUGCUUGGCAGCAUAGAUUGUAUGCACUGGGAGUGGAAGAACUGUCCAUUUGCUUGGCAGGGCCAGUACAAGGGGCAUGUUAACGGGUGCACUGUCAUAUUAGAAGCGGUGGCAUCACACGAUCUUUGGAUAUGGCAUUCUUUCUUCGGCAUGGCAGGUUCUCACAAUGAUAUCAACGUGCUGCAGCGUUCUCCAGUCUUCGCGAGGCUUGCAGAAGGCCACUCCCCACCUGUCAACUUUGAGAUCAACGGCCACCAUUACAACAAGGGAUACUAUUUAGCAGAUGGUAUAUAUCCUCAGUGGUCAACUUUUGUGAAGACAAUCUCGAAACCCCAAGGUGAGAAGAGAAAGAGAUUUGCCCAAAUGCAAGAGAGUGUUAGAAAGGAUGUGGAACGCGCUUUUGGUGUGCUUCAAUCCCGGUGGGGUAUCGUUCGAAACCCUGCACUGUGAUGGGAUGAAGGGAAGCUUUGGGAGGUGAUGACUGCUUGUGUGAUCAUGCACAACAUGAUCGUCGAGGACGAGCGGGAUGAGAGUAUCUUUGACGAAGGAUUUGAUUACCAAGGUGAAAAAUAUUGAGCCCCUGCACCAAGACCCGGCCACAAUUGAACAGUUUGCCCAAUUCCACCGUGAGAUGCGUGAUUGGCACACUCAUGUGAAUCUUCAAAAUGACUUGGUUGAGCACGUGUGGGAUCAUAUUGGUAACCAAUAGAUGUAUUUCUCCAUUUUAUGUUCAGUCAAGAUAAUUUCGAUUUGGUUGUAAAACUAUUUUAUUAAAGACAAUUUCAAUUGGGUUGUAAAACUAUUUUAAUUUUCAGACAAAUAUUUGGGUUUGAAAGUAGUUUUAAUGCAAAUUUGGGCAUUUCUUGGCCCUGACGGACAGGAUGAGGCAAAAGGAUGCGGCCGCGCGCUGGGCGCACGGCCACCGCAUCCCAGGACAGGCCCGGACACGACCCCAAAUCCCUACCCAAAGGGACAAAAACAGGACAAAACGGACGUUCGUUUGGGGUCGCGCGGUGGAGUUGGCCUAAGAAGAAUGAGGUGGAAGCAAUGGAUAAGGAGUAGUGUACUGUAACACGAAGUAACCCAUCAAGGCGAAGCGGUGUAUACAUACACCUGGCGAUCGUGAGAGACAAAUACUGUGUAUGCCUAAGCCAUUCAAUCUACUCAUGCAUGGGAAAAAAUGCCGAGAGUAAAACUAUGGGGUCGCAUGCAACGUGUAGCUGGCAGCCGAGACUCAUAUGACAUGAUAGAUGCUAAAUCGGGUAAAACCGAGAAACUUCGGGUAAAUGCAAUAUAACUACUCCCUCCGUUCGUUUUUAUAAGGCGUUUCAGACAGUUGGGUUUGAACUGUUUAGUACACUGUCUGAAUUUGCUAAAACGUCUUAUAUAAGUGAACAGAGGGAGUAGAAAUUUUGCUAAAUGGCGUAAUCUAGAAGAAAAACUGUUAAAUAGGGUAAUUUGUGCAUGAAAUCAAAGGUAUAUAAGGGGUAAAAACUGAAAUUCACUCUAGUUUUUUCUUUGAACGAGUAUUCAACAACUUUUUUAUUGGGCUAUUGCCCGAGUAGCGUGGUGUGUGCUGCACCUAGCCUUUAACAGGACUCAAAAUGUACCAUGUCUAACAUUUUUGGUGUGUGGUUAUGAUUGAUCCAUAAAUCUCUUUGCUCUCUGAGUAAGAUGGGUGCCACAUCUACCUUCUGCCUUUCAUACUGCAUAACAACCAUACCAUCGUAGCGCUUCAGAACUUCAUUGAUGAUUUAACUCUACUAGAUGACUCGUUGCGCCCAUGGCGCAAAAAGUGACAGCACGCCACUAAUUUAAAAUUAACUUAAUAGAUACUUAUAUCUUAUUAUUAUAUGAUACAGGAUGAAAGGAAGUCAAAAUAAGUAGGAAUAGACUGCAUGAAACAGUACAGAUCAUAUCAGUACAUGCAGUACAAAUUAGCAAGAAAAAUAAAAUUACAACUGUGCCAUUGGGACAAGAGAACCACACACUCUGGAUACCUAUACACACGCGUCACACAUGUAACAUCGGAGGUCAGCACGUGGUUGACUGUUUGUCUUGUUCCAUCCACCAGUUCACCAUCUUCGUCCCGUUCCUUCCCCCAUUCUACUCGUACUGAAGUGAUAAAGCAUCUGGUGGAGGCCGUCGCCGACACUUUGGGCUCCAUCUUGGUGGCGGCUGACGCUGCAGCUUGGCGGCAGAGCGGCUCCUGCUGCAGCUCAGAGGCGUUGCGGCUCCAUCUGCAUCUUGGUGGCCCGGCAGCUACCUCUGUAGCUUGGAGCUGUGGAACCGGCAAAUGGUGCCACUGUUGCUCAUACCGGUGAGCCAAAUCCUCAGUUGCCACCGUCGCUCCCUGCCGUAGGUGGCGUCAGUUUCGGCUGUGCCGGCACUCCCUGAAGCUGGUAACUUUUCACGGCAAGGGAUGCUCCAGCACGGCGGCCGCCGUUGCCACUCAGGUAAGAACUAACCUCCUUCAGUGUUUGAUGAAUCUGCAGAUUUUGUGUGUGAGCUCGUUGCUACUAUGCUAAUAGCCAAGUCUCGAGGGCAGUGUUGAUACUGAGCUGAGUGAUUCAAUACAGGAGCACUAAUUAGCAGCUGAGACUGCUCCAAUCAUCCAGCUGGGUAUAUUGUAUAAGAUACUUAGUUGAGUGACCGCCUUUAAAAGAGUAUCUUCUAACUAAGGGCUCCUUUGAUUCAAAGGAAUUGCAUAGGAUUUUUGGAGGAUUUAAACCCUUAGGAAUUUUUCCUGUGAUGCUCGUUUGAUUCGUAGGAUUGGCAUCCUUAGGAAUUUUUCCAUAUGAUCCAUUUGUACUACAUUUUGGAGGAAAAUUUCCAUCCACUCAAACCUCUUUGUAGAAUUCCUUUGUUUUUCCUAUGCUAUCAAACAUUCUCUGCAGGAGCAACCUGAAGCCAAAAGAACACAAAACUGUAUAAACUAAAAUAAAAACAUGUUCACAUGCCUAAUAACUUUGAAAGUCCGAGUCCUACUAUAACAGUUCAAACAAUCAAUUGUCAGAAGAGGCUAAUUAAGGUACUGGUAUAAGGUACUUUAACUUUAACUGGGCACGCAUAAUAUAGGAUUAAAGAAUUUAGAUAAGAUGCCAAGGGUUCUUCAGUCUAUGGCACUCACCUGAAGACUAAAGCCACGGUUGUCAUUGCAUAGCUCUAGACUAAAUAAUAAGAGCAUAACCAAAAGAUUUACUCCCUGCGUUCCUAAAUAUAAGUCAUUUAGACAUUUCAAAUGGACUACAACACAUGGGUGUAUGUAGACAUAUUUUAGAGUGUAGAUUCACUCAUUUUGCUCUGUAUGUAGUCACUUGUUGGAAUCUCUAGAAAAAGGCUUAUAUUUGGGAAAGGAGGGAGUAUGCAUUAGUGCAUGAACAAAUAAUAAAAAUAAGCCUAUAAUAUCCCAUGCCAUAUGCACACCAAAUGAAGGCCAAACAGAAGAUCACCAAUAAGGAAAAUAUUACUAUGUGAGUAUAAUUUUUCAGGAAAACGAUAGAAUGGUGAGAUUGAAUAAAUACAAGAUUAAGAAAGGGGAACAUGCAACAACAAAAAGCUUUCGAAAAGCAGUAGUAUUUUUACCUCUGUAACAGAGGAAGUAUAAAAAUGAGUUAGUUGGCAUUUCUUCGGAUGGCGAAUUGCCUGGGAAGAAGGAUCAGUAGGUAUAAUAAUGGUGUUACUUUCUUGCGCAAGCACCAAAACUUCGCCAAAAAGUAAAAUAUAUUGGGCGCAUUGCACCUUUAUUUUCCCUGUAAUCCUUGCCUUUGCUUCUAGACUGUAUGAUGGCGGUGCAAGCUAGCCAGCAUCUUCAGAUUAGUCCUUCAAAAAAUCACACCGAGGGUAACAGUUGGAUUGAUUGUAUCAUCCCUGUAACGCCAUUAUCAGAAAUUCAGUAGCCGCUUAAUAGUAAAUAGAAGUGUACUGCUUGCUGCUUAUCACGCUUACUUAGGACUCAUAGGCCUUAUCUAAUCCCUCUCCAAAGCAAACCAUCUAUCUAUGCCAAAUAGGCAAGAGGUAGGCAAAGAUUCUAUACACCUAAGAGUAUAUGUCAAUCUAAACUCAAGUACUGCUCACAAGAAAGCGAGCAUGAUAACACGUCGUUGCUUGCUCUAAUAAUAAAUAAGUUGUUGGUAAGGAGGGGGAGGCUAUUUUAUUUAUAAAGUUUAGUUUAGUGAUUUAGUAUAAAUAAGGACAUGUCCAAACCUGACAGGCACAACAACCUCAAAUGCAUGGGGUUGGUUUGGUUAAAUCAGGAUGAGCAGAAAUGAAACGCACCAUAUACAUUUUCCAUGCUUCAACAUAUAUCCGUGAAAAGCAUAGAACUGUUACGCAUCCUCAUAUACUCACUACAGAAAUAGAGAAUAUACUAAACUAUUUGUAUGCAUCCACAUACACUCAUUAUAAAAACAGAGUAAUGUGUGCGUGUUAUGUAAGUUAGUUGGCUACCAAUCGUACCAACCUUUCUUUAGCAUGUUUGAGAAGAAUAACACAGCAGGAUCGACCAAAGCAAUCUUUCGCUUGAGUUGCUUAUCCUUGGUCGUUUCCAGAAUCCAGGCAGAAAAUUAUGUACGUAUGUGGUGUUUCUCCAUAGAAAGGAUCUCCUCUGGCGCUGGGGGACAUUUGCAUUUAUCUACUGUCUCUCCUCGGACAGUGCCUCAUCAACAGUUGAAACCAGGUCCCCCCCUCCAAUUGUUUGUUCCGAAUGGAGAUCAUUCUCGAGAAGCACACGUUAGAAAACUGUAGGUUAGUAUGCCUAGACAUAAUUAUUCUGAAUGCAAACAGGAAAUAAAGAAGAAAGAGAAAGGACUAACUUGCUAACUGGGUGCAAUAUACAGUUAAGAGAUUGCAUAGCCUUGCAUCCCAUGACUUCAGAAAACAGGAAUAGCACUGCAGCUGAAGAUGGCUGGAAAAAAAAUCUAAGAUCAUUUACCUACUGGGUGUUCUUGUAGAAGAAUACCACUAUAUAUGCACUUGACAACCAUAGCAGUUUGGUGCAGAGUCGUGUAUUAAUAAAUGGAACAUAUUUCGAUCUUGUGGCAUUGUCAAUCUUCUACACCAAAAAAUAUUCAUGCAGGAGUUGAAUGUAGUAAAUCUAAGAAGCAGACAUAGUGGAAAAGUUAAUGAACCAUUUGUACUGCUACUUCAGAUUGGACCAAGAAUCUUAUAAAUUUAGGAAACUCGCAAACAUAAGACCACAUAUGGUCUUGCAACUUGCUCUCACUAUGGAAGCUAAAACAUCAAAAUGUAUACAAAAUCUGUUUGUGUCUCUAGCAUUACUAAAUCUGGAACACUCGGCCUAGCUGGACAGAAUGCAUACCUGUCGUAGACAAAUACUACUGGAUCACAAGUGCCAAGGAUUCCUUGUUAUUUAGCAAUGAUCUGACAUCACCUUCAGGAAUCUCUCCCAGCACAAGUUAGUCCCCUUCAAUAAAGCAAAAAUAUAUUGCAUCGGAUAUGAGCAUUGCAGAGUAGAAGCAUCCAGCAUCACCUACAAAAUACAAAUCACCAAGUAUUAGAAAAUGAUAAAUCUGAAAGUUGCAAUCAUAGUCAAAUUAAAAACAACGGAAGUUAAUGUCGCCCUAUAAUCUCUCUUCUUCUCCAUGUCAGUGAAAAAUCAACAUGUCAAGAAUAAGAGUGAGAGGCAAACGAAAGGCAAUGUGCAAUACAUCAUGAUUGGCUAAAACAUCGACUACUGCCCUCCGAUGUGCCUCCCUGUACAAAACUCAAAUCUCCAGCGGCUGCCGCACACUGAAGCGUUUAGGCCGAGUUGUGUAAGGAGUGGACUACUACAUCGUCACCAUCCCCAACAAAGGAAAGCAAAGCGACGUACCAAGUAUCCAUGGUCCACGAAAGAAGAGGCAACAUGUCCGCGCCGCCGGCCCGGCCUCGCU